This 525-nucleotide long non-coding RNA is filed under the name Lathyrus oleraceus (garden pea). Its description in RNAcentral is "Pisum sativum (pea) long non-coding RNA (PSAT_LNC021614)". Lineage: Eukaryota; Viridiplantae; Streptophyta; Magnoliopsida; Fabales; Fabaceae. The record is from RNAcentral.
CAGAGCAUAUUCCAAAAAAAAAAGGGCCAAAAUGUGGUAAAUCGUCUAUAUUCUUUGUUCUUCAUUAUUAUCCAUUUAUCAUUAUAAAAAAAAUCGAAAAAAAAGAGUUAUAAGAAGAAAAAAAAAAUAUAAAAAAAGGAUCUCAUUGUUAAAGAUUGUGAUUCAAAAAAAAAAAAAAAAAAAAAAGAAAAGUUCUAUUUUUUUUCUUGCCACACUCUUAAAAUUCUCCUUGUUUCCUUUGUUUUAGAGUCUCUUUUUUUUGUUUGCUGUUUUUUGUGUGUUGAUUAUCAUCUGAAAUUGAUUUCUUUGUGUUGAUUCAUUUUGGUUUCUCUAAAGAACUAAAAGAGCAAAUUGAGUGGUAAAAGGCAGAGUGUUUUUAUUAGUAAAAAAAAAGCCAAAAGAAAAUAAAAAUUGAGUAAAACACGAGUGAUUGAGUGUAAACACGUGAGUAGAGUGGUAAGGUCCAUUUUUAAACACUUGUUCCUAAUUUCACAAAUAUUUCACAAUUAUGUCUAGUCCACCUUC